Molecule: ribosomal RNA, 460 nt
Filed under: uncultured bacterium
Lineage: Bacteria
Description: partial 16S ribosomal RNA
Rfam family: Bacterial small subunit ribosomal RNA
Source: RNAcentral
CCUACGGGAGGCAGCAGUGAGGAAUAUUGGUCAAUGGACGAGAGUCUGAACCAGCCAAGUAGCGUGAAGGAUGACUGCCCUAUGGGUUGUAAACUUCUUUUAUAUGGGAAUAAAACGUUCCACGUGUGGGAUUUUGUAUGUACCAUAUGAAUAAGGAUCGGCUAACUCCGUGCCAGUAGCCGAGGGAAUACGGAGGAUCCGAGCGUUAUCCGGAUGUAUUGGGGUUAAAGGGAGCGUAGGUGGAUUGUUAAGUCAGUUGUGAAAGUUUGCGGCUCAACCGUAAAAUUGCAGUUGAAACUGGCAGUCGUGAGUACAGUAGAGGUGGGCGGAAUUCGUGGUGUAGCGGUGAAAUGCUUAGAUAUCACGAAGAACUCCGAUUGCGAAGGCAGUUCACUGGACUGCAACUGACACUGAGGCUCGAAAGUGUGGGUAUCAAACAGGAGUAGAUACCCCAGUAGUC